UAUAUUAAGUCAUGCUAUUUCCAUACCAACCUAUGUAGUAUUUUCCCACAUUAUUAAGAAAUUGAUGUCCUCAGAGUACACCAUGUUGUUCUUAGAAUGAUUUGAUUCAGGUAAACCACAUCUAAUUACAAGGUUGUUUCUGUUCUUGAUGUAGU
Molecule: long non-coding RNA, 155 nt
Organism: Phyllostomus discolor (pale spear-nosed bat)
Lineage: Eukaryota; Metazoa; Chordata; Mammalia; Chiroptera; Phyllostomidae
Exons: 3
Source: RefSeq, a predicted model, not a curated record